AGUGAACGCUGGCGGUAGGCCUAACACAUGCAAGUCGAACGGCAGCACAGUAAGAGCUUGCUCUUACGGGUGGCGAGUGGCGGACGGGUGAGGAAUACAUCGGAAUCUACUUUUUCGUGGGGGAUAACGUAGGGAAACUUACGCUAAUACCGCAUACGACCUACGGGUGAAAGCAGGGGAUCUUCGGACCUUGCGCGAUUGAAUGAGCCGAUGUCGGAUUAGCUAGUUGGCGGGGUAAAGGCCCACCAAGGCGACGAUCCGUAGCUGGUCUGAGAGGAUGAUCGGCCACACUGGAACUGAGACACCGUCCUGACUCCUACGGGAGGCAGCAGUGGGGAAUAUUGGACAAUGGGCGCAAGCCUGGUCCAGCCAUACCGCGUGGGUGAAGAAGGCCUUCGGGUUGUAAAGCCCUUUUGUUGGGAAAGAAAAGCAGCAGGUUAAUACCCCGCUGUUCUGACGGUACCCAAAGAAUAAGCACCGGCUAACUUCGUG
Molecule: ribosomal RNA, 492 nt
Filed under: uncultured bacterium
Lineage: Bacteria
Description: partial 16S ribosomal RNA
Rfam family: Bacterial small subunit ribosomal RNA
Source: RNAcentral